AUACGUAGGUGGCAAGCGUUGUCCGGAUUUAUUGGGCGUAAAGCGAGCGCAGGCGGUCUUUUAAGUCUGAUGUGAAAGCCCCCGGCUUAACCGGGGAGGGUCAUUGGAAACUGGGAGACUUGAGUGCAGAAGAGGAGAGUGGAAUUCCAUGUGUAGCGGUGAAAUGCGUAGAUAUAUGGAGGAACACCAGUGGCGAAGGCGGCUCUCUGGUCUGUAACUGACGCUGAGGCUCGAAAGCGUGGGGAGCAAACAGGAUUAGAUACCCUGGUAGUCCACGCCGUAAACGAUGAGUGCUAAGUGUUGGAGGGUUUCCGCCCUUCAGUGCUGCAGCUAACGCAUUAAGCACUCCGCCUGGGGAGUACGACCGCAAGGUUGAA
This 377-nucleotide ribosomal RNA is filed under the name uncultured Enterococcus sp. Its description in RNAcentral is "bacterial SSU rRNA". It matches the Rfam family "Bacterial small subunit ribosomal RNA", at positions 523 to 898 of the family's 1533-position model. The record is from RNAcentral. Lineage: Bacteria; Bacillati; Bacillota; Bacilli; Lactobacillales; Enterococcaceae.